Molecule: ribosomal RNA, 677 nt
Filed under: uncultured bacterium
Lineage: Bacteria
Description: bacterial SSU rRNA
Rfam family: Bacterial small subunit ribosomal RNA
Source: RNAcentral
CGGGAAAGCGGCCGCAAGGUCGCGCCAGAGGAGGGGCUCGCGACGUAUCAGCUAGUUGGCGGGGUAAUGGCCCACCAAGGCUACGACGCGUAGCUGGUCUGAGAGGAUGGCCAGCCACAUUGGGACUGAGAUACGGCCCAGACUCCUACGGGAGGCAGCAGUGGGGAAUAUUGCGCAAUGGCCGCAAGGCUGACGCAGCGACGCCGCGUGUGGGAUGAAGGCCUUCGGGUUGUAAACCACUGUCGGGAGGGGCGAAUACCUGGCUUCGAAUAGGAGACCAGGGGUGACGGUACCUCCAAAGGAAGCACCGGCUAACUCCGUGCCAGCAGCCGCGGUAAUACGGAGGGUGCGAGCGUUGUCCGGAAUCACUGGGCGUAAAGGGCGCGUAGGCGGCCGCGUAAGUCACAUGUGAAAUCCCGGGGCUCAACUCCGGGGCUGCAUGUGAGACUGCGUGGCUAGAGCUCGGUAGAGGCAAGUGGAAUUCCCGGUGUAGCGGUGGAAUGCGUAGAUAUCGGGAAGAACAUCGGUGGCGAAGGCGGCUUGCUGGGCCGAUGCUGACGCUGAGGCGCGAAAGCGUGGGGAGCAAACAGGAUUAGAUACCCUGGUAGUCCACGCCGUAAACGAUGGGUACUAGGCGUCGGGGGGAGCGACCCUCCCGGUGCCGUCGCUAACGCAGU